Molecule: ribosomal RNA, 1347 nt
Filed under: uncultured bacterium
Lineage: Bacteria
Description: partial 16S ribosomal RNA
Rfam family: Bacterial small subunit ribosomal RNA
Source: RNAcentral
GACGAACGCUGGCGGCGUGCUUAACACAUGCAAGUCGAACGGAAAGGCCCUGCUUUUGUGGGGUGCUCGAGUGGCGAACGGGUGAGUAACACGUGAGUAACCUGCCCUUGACUUUGGGAUAACUUCAGGAAACUGGGGCUAAUACCGGAUAGGAGCUCCUGCUGCAUGGUGGGGGUCGGAAAGUUUCGGCGGUUGGGGAUGGACUCGCGGCUUAUCAGCUUGUUGGUGGGGUAGUGGCUUACCAAGGCUUUGACGGGUAGCCGGCCUGAGAGGGUGACCGGCCACAUUGGGACUGAGAUACGGCCCAGACUCCUACGGGAGGCAGCAGUGGGGAAUAUUGCACAAUGGGCGGAAGCCUGAUGCAGCAACGCCGCGUGCGGGAUGACGGCCUUCGGGUUGUAAACCGCUUUCGCCUGUGACGAAGCGUGAGUGACGGUAAUGGGUAAAGAAGCACCGGCUAACUACGUGCCAGCAGCCGCGGUGAUACGUAGGGUGCGAGCGUUGUCCGGAUUUAUUGGGCGUAAAGGGCUCGUAGGUGGUUGAUCGCGUCGGAAGUGUAAUCUUGGGGCUUAACCCUGAGCGUGCUUUCGAUACGGGUUGACUUGAGGAAGGUAGGGGAGAAUGGAAUUCCUGGUGGAGCGGUGGAAUGCGCAGAUAUCAGGAGGAACACCAGUGGCGAAGGCGGUUCUCUGGGCCUUUCCUGACGCUGAGGAGCGAAAGCGUGGGGAGCGAACAGGCUUAGAUACCCUGGUAGUCCACGCUGUAAACGGUGGGUACUAGGUGUGGGGUCCAUUCCACGGGUUCCGUGCCGUAGCUAACGCUUUAAGUACCCCGCCUGGGGAGUACGGCCGCAGGGCUAAAACUCAAAGGAAUUGACGGGGCCCCGCACAAGCGGCGGAGCAUGCGGAUUAAUUCGAUGCAACGCGUAGAACCUUACCUGGGUUUGACAUGGAUCGGGAGUGCUCAGAGAUGGGUGUGCCUCUUUUGGGGUCGGUUCACAGGUGGUGCAUGGCUGUCGUCAGCUCGUGUCGUGAGAUGUUGGGUUAAGUCCCGCAACGAGCGCAACCCUUGUUCACUGUUGCCAGCACGUUAUGGUGGGGACUCAGUGGAGACCGCCGGGGUCAACUCGGAGGAAGGUGGGGAUGACGUCAAGUCAUCAUGCCCCUUAUGUCCAGGGCUUCACGCAUGCUACAAUGGCUGGUACAGAGAGUGGCGAGCCUGUGAGGGUGAGCGAAUCUCGGAAAGCCGGUCUCAGUUCGGAUUGGGGUCUGCAACUCGACCUCAUGAAGUCGGAGUCGCUAGUAAUCGCAGAUCAGCAACGCUGCGGUGGAUACGUUCCCGGGGGCU